Molecule: microRNA, 22 nt
Filed under: Gyrodactylus salaris (gyrodactylosis fluke)
Lineage: Eukaryota; Metazoa; Platyhelminthes; Monogenea; Gyrodactylidea; Gyrodactylidae
Description: gsa-miR-10b-3p
Gene: gsa-miR-10b-3p
Source: miRBase by way of RNAcentral
AAAAUCGAGCUUACAAGGUAUA